UUCGUCAGUAGAAUGCAACCGUGCUGGUAGUGUUACGCGGUCAUUACUAAUUACGAGGCUCGAUGCUUCGUGGGUUUAAUCACCAGCUACUCGCGGUAAUGGAAUAUAAAUUUUUGCACCGCUGCUGAAAAUUUGGAAGUGAAUUUUUCUUCAUCAAAUCGCUUAAACCGAAUUUUCGUGAACAAAAAUCUCCGAAAUCCUAUUUCAAAAGUACGCGUAAAAAUAAUUUCUCUGGCACAACAUUAACUCGUUUUAGAGAGGUUAAAAUUUUGUGGAUUCUGCUACUCAACAACUGGCCUUGGAAGAAUGAUCGACAGGAUUUGAUCGAACGAAUUGGUCUGAUGACGAAAAUCGUUUGAAAAACUUUACAGUUAAUCUAUCACGAUGAAAGCGUUCGUGCGUUGCGUUAAAAGCCGUACAAGCAAACUCUGAGGCUGGAGCGAUUACUCACAAACGCUACUGUCACUACUCGUCGCGUCCUCGUCAACGUUGUAUUCACAAUCAUUUUUUUUAUUCUUCCGCCUUAUUAUGGAGCUCCACAUUUUUCUGCGAGUCGACAUUUUUGUUUCUGUUGCUUCGAGGCACUGUCGUUGGAUUUCAAUAGUGCACUUUGGUAUGACGGCGAGUUUGUUCCAAAAAUUUUAAGGAGGCUGAUGAUCGAGCUCAAUUGUUUGGGGUUCGUAACACUUUUCUCUUCGAAAUUCUCAUUUCGGCAUAACUCAAACCCGCUGAUCGAGCCUGUUUCUUCAAAGGGUUUAAAAACUUUUUUCUAAUAUCAAAACAUUUUUAAGGUUUUUGGUAAGUGAGAGUUGCGAAGAAUGUGCUACGGAUCGACGCAUAAUUGCGGACCAAAGCGAACCGGAUCCAAGUCCUUAAAGGAGAGGAAAAAGAGUUCUCGCGAUUAAGGCGAUACGAGACGAGAAAUCGUGUUUUCCUUAUAUCGCUUCAUUUGCACACAGUAUAUACUCGUCGUUUUACACACUUUCGCGAUAGAGGCACGUCAAGCGCUCACAGGAACGUCGAUCACACGAGCUGCACUUACGGAACAUCUGUAAUGCUUCCGGUACGAGGACUCUGUUAUUAAACCGAGGGAUCGGACAGAAAGAUUUUUCCCAUUUUUUGAACGCUGGAGAACGCUGGUUCUGCGCAGAAUUCAAAGCGUUCUUUGUCGCCGGCGCAACGAGCUCAGUGACAAUUCCGAAUAUUUCAAGACCAAUCACUAAUUCGCACGAACCCAAUAUCGGCACUUGGCGCGAAGUUAUAAGAACGAAGCGGAGGCUCAGACUGAACGAAAAACUGUCACAAUGAAGCUAAAAACGUCAUCGCGUACUACGUCCUCGAAUGGCUCGCGUGAAAUAUCGAGGAUGCGGUCGUCUGUUGAGAUAAGAAUGAGCUGCUUGUUUCUUUUAUUUUUCCCCAUUCAAGUGACGAGCGCAAACGAAACGGGGAUCGAAUACGAGCUUCGCUUUUCAGAGUUUCCGUCACCGGUCGAUUCUCAAUAACGUUCUGACACUGAACUUCGACGUUUACAAUGUCAGAAAAUAUAUCCAAAUUCUUUAGACUGGCUGUGUGUUUUUCCACACUUGAAUUCCCCUCGGAGAUGUUCGCCAUUUUGAUUUCUCAACGCGUUGAAUUUACCCAGCGAAACACCUUUCGAUUGUCGCGCGUUUUAAAAACCUCGAAAUAUGCAAAUUACCAAGAGAAUUUGUGAGCGCGAUGCUGCAGGAAUGAUGCAAGAACGAAUGUUGCAUGAUAUUCAACGAAAAUGUAUAAAAAUAGAACUGCAAACUCGGGUAUUAAACGUAUACAAGAAGAUUUACGUAUAAUCGUUUGUGGAAUCAGCAGCAGAGAAAAUAAUUACAGCGUCGAGGUCGUUCGGUGGCGUUUCCGAAGGAAAAAAUAGCUCGAAUCGCUUUUUCUUCCAAUCUCAUUUCGUACGCGUGUUUAUCGUAUUCAGAGUCGCGCAGUGUCUGCGCUCGUCGAUUAUAAUUCCAACGCGUUGAUUCUAUCAAACUGCCGCAUUGUCUAAUCGGAAUCGAUGACGAAAGCU
Long non-coding RNA from Venturia canescens, 2050 nucleotides. RefSeq lists it as uncharacterized. NCBI's taxonomy places the organism in Eukaryota, Metazoa, Arthropoda, Insecta, Hymenoptera, Ichneumonidae. The transcript is spliced from 3 exons. The record is from RefSeq and is a predicted model, not a curated record.